AUUGAACGCUGGCGGAAUGCUUUACACAUGCAAGUCGAACGGCAGCACGGACUUCGGUCUGGUGGCGAGUGGCGAACGGGUGAGUAAUGUAUCGGAACGUGCCCAGUCGUGGGGGAUAACGUAGUGAAAAUUACGCUAAUACCGCAUACGAUCUAUGGAUGAAAGCGGGGGAUCGCAAGACCUCGCGCGAUUGGAGCGGCCGAUAUCAGAUUAGGUAGUUGGUGGGGUAAAGGCCCACCAAGCCAACGAUCUGUAGCUGGUCUGAGAGGACGAGCAGCCACACUGGAACUGAGACACGGUCCAUACUCCUACGGGAGGCAGCAGUGGGGAAUUUUGGACAAUGGGCGAAAGCCUGAUCCAGCCAAUCCGCGUGCAGGAUGAAGGCCCUCGGGUUGUAAACUGCUUUUGUACAGAACGAAAAGGUUUCUACUAAUACUAGGAGCUCAUGACGGUACUGUAAGAAUAAGCACCGGCUAACUACGUGCCAGCAGCCGCAGUAA
This 500-nucleotide ribosomal RNA is filed under the name uncultured bacterium. RNAcentral describes it as "partial 16S ribosomal RNA". It matches the Rfam family "Bacterial small subunit ribosomal RNA", at positions 30 to 523 of the family's 1533-position model. The record is from RNAcentral.